Molecule: ribosomal RNA, 529 nt
Filed under: uncultured bacterium
Lineage: Bacteria
Description: bacterial SSU rRNA
Rfam family: Bacterial small subunit ribosomal RNA
Source: RNAcentral
AAUAGAUACCCGGGUAGUCCACGCCGUAAACGUUGGGCGCUAGAUGUGGGGACCUUUCCACGGUUUCCGUGUCGUAGCUAACGCAUUAAGCGCCCCGCCUGGGGAGUACGGCCGCAAGGCUAAAACUCAAAGGAAUUGACGGGGGCCCGCACAAGCGGCGGAGCAUGCGGAUUAAUUCGAUGCAACGCGAAGAACCUUACCAAGGCUUGACAUACACGAGAACGGGCCAGAAAUGGUCAACUCUUUGGACACUCGUGAACAGGUGGUGCAUGGUUGUCGUCAGCUCGUGUCGUGAGAUGUUGGGUUAAGUCCCGCAACGAGCGCAACCCUCGUCGCAUGUUGCCAGCACGUUAUGGUGGGGACUCAUGUGAGACUGCCGGGGUCAACUCGGAGGAAGGUGGGGAUGACGUCAAAUCAUCAUGCCCCUUAUGUCUUGAGCUUCACGCAUGCUACAAUGGCCGGUACAAAGGGCUGCGAUGUCGUAAGGCGGAGCGAAUCCCAAAAAGCCGGUCUCAGUUCGGAUUGAGGU